AUCCAAGUCUUCUUGAGUUAAUAAAGUAUUCUCCAAGUUAUUCAAGUAAGUCCUCCACUUUCUUAGUUCUAGUAUUUUUGGAGCUAUAUUUUCUUCUUCGUUCUUCAUCAAUUAUGGUUGUGAGUCUUGGGCUAGUGAAGCAUAAUUCACUACUCUAAGAAAGCAAUUUCCGGAAUUUGGGAAGUUGUUUUUCUUCACAUGGUAUCAGAG
This 210-nucleotide long non-coding RNA is filed under the name Nicotiana benthamiana. RNAcentral describes it as "long non-coding RNA (NBEN_LNC034896)". Lineage: Eukaryota; Viridiplantae; Streptophyta; Magnoliopsida; Solanales; Solanaceae. The record is from RNAcentral.